Molecule: ribosomal RNA, 2239 nt
Filed under: Chromobacterium violaceum
Lineage: Bacteria; Pseudomonadati; Pseudomonadota; Betaproteobacteria; Neisseriales; Chromobacteriaceae
Description: partial 23S ribosomal RNA
Rfam family: Bacterial large subunit ribosomal RNA
Source: RNAcentral
AGUUGCUGGGCGUAGACCCGAAACCGAGUGAUCUAUCCAUGGCCAGGAUGAAGGUGCGGUAACACGCACUGGAGGUCCGAACCCACUAGUGUUGCAAAACUAGGGGAUGAGCUGUGGAUAGGGGUGAAAGGCUAAACAAACUCGGAGAUAGCUGGUUCUCCCCGAAAACUAUUUAGGUAGUGCCUCAUGUAUCACUUCCGGGGGUAAAGCACUGUUAUGGCUAGGGGGUCAUUGCGAUUUACCAAACCAUGGCAAACUCUGAAUACCGGAAAGUGCGAGCAUGGGAGACAGACGGUGGGUGCUAACGUCCAUCGUCAAGAGGGAAACAACCCAGACCGCCAGCUAAGGUCCCAAAUGAUCAGUUAAGUGGUAAACGAAGUGGGAAGGCCUAGACAGCCAGGAUGUUGGCUUAGAAGCAGCCAUCAUUUAAAGAAAGCGUAAUAGCUCACUGGUCGAGUCGUCCUGCGCGGAAGAUGUAACGGGGCUCAAACUGAUAACCGAAGCUGCGGAUGGGCACGUAAGUGUCCGUGGUAGGGGAGCGUUCUGUAGGUCUGUGAAGGUGUCUCGUAAGGGAUGCUGGAGAUAUCAGAAGUGCGAAUGCUGACAUGAGUAGCGAUAAAGCGGGUGAAAAGCCCGCUCGCCGAAAGCCCAAGGUUUCCUACGCAACGUUCAUCGGCGUAGGGUGAGUCGGCCCCUAAGGCGAGGCUGAAAAGCGUAGUCGAUGGGAAACGGGUUAAAAUUCCCGUACUUUUGUGUAGUGCGAUGUGGGGACGGAGAAGGUUAGGUCAUCAGACUGUUGGAAUAGUCUGUUUAAGCCGGUAGGCGUGAGGGGUAGGCAAAUCCGCCCUUCUUUAACGCCGAGACGUGAUGACGAGGGUCUACGGACCUGAAGUGACUGAUACCACGCUUCCAGGAAAAGCCACUAAGCUUCAGCUACACAAGAACCGUACCGCAAACCGACACAGGUGGGCAGGAUGAGAAUUCUAAGGCGCUUGAGAGAACUCAGGAGAAGGAACUCGGCAAAUUGAUACCGUAACUUCGGGAGAAGGUAUGCCUCUUAGAGUGUAGGACUUCGCGUUCGAAGCUUUGAGAGGUCGCAGAGAAUCGGUGGCUGCGACUGUUUAACAAAAACACAGCACUGUGCCAACACGAAAGUGGACGUAUACGGUGUGACGCCUGCCCGGUGCCGGAAGGUUAAGUGAUGGGGUGCAAGCUCUUGAUCGAAGCCCCGGUAAACGGCGGCCGUAACUAUAACGGUCCUAAGGUAGCGAAAUUCCUUGUCGGGUAAGUUCCGACCCGCACGAAUGGCGUAACGAUGGCCACACUGUCUCCUCCUGAGACUCAGCGAAGUUGAAGUGUUUGUGAAGAUGCAAUCUCCCCGCUGCUAGACGGAAAGACCCCGUGAACCUUUACUGUAGCUUUGCAUUGGACUUUGAACAGACUUGUGUAGGAUAGGUGGGAGGCUUUGAAGCCAGGACGCUAGUUCUGGUGGAGCCGUCCUUGAAAUACCACCCUGGUGUGUUUGAGGUUCUAACCUUGGUCCGUGAUCCGGAUUGGGGACAGUGCAUGGUAGGCAGUUUGACUGGGGCGGUCUCCUCCCAAAGUGUAACGGAGGAGUUCGAAGGUUACCUAGGUACGGUCGGAAAUCGUGCUGAUAGUGCAAUGGCAAAAGGUAGCUUAACUGCGAGACCGACAAGUCGAGCAGGUGCGAAAGCAGGACAUAGUGAUCCGGUGGUUCUGAAUGGAAGGGCCAUCGCUCAACGGAUAAAAGGUACUCCGGGGAUAACAGGCUGAUACCGCCCAAGAGUUCACAUCGACGGCGGUGUUUGGCACCUCGAUGUCGGCUCAUCACAUCCUGGGGCUGUAGCCGGUCCCAAGGGUAUGGCUGUUCGCCAUUUAAAGUGGUACGUGAGCUGGGUUCAAAACGUCGUGAGACAGUUUGGUCCCUAUCUGCAGUGGGCGUUGGAAGUUUGACGGGGGCUGCUCCUAGUACGAGAGGACCGGAGUGGACGCACCUCUGGUGUACCGGUUGUGACGCCAGUCGCAUUGCCGGGUAGCUAAGUGCGGAAGAGAUAACCGCUGAAAGCAUCUAAGCGGGAAACUUGCCUGAAGAUGAGACUUCCCUGGAGGCUUGACCUCCCUGAAGAGUCGUUCGAGACCAGGACGUUGAUAGGUCGGGUGUGGAAGCGCUGUGAGGCGUGAAGCUAACCGAUACUAAUUGCUCGUGAGGCUUGAUCCU